AUGCAGAGGGAUGUCCUUGAAUGGGAGAAGUUCAUGAAGCGCUACUCUCGAGACUAUUUCCGUAGGUCAUGUGUUGGAAUUGUUCAUAUAUGGCACAAUGAUCAACUAUGCCAGGACAUGGGAUGCAACCCAAGAAGGAAGAAGGGUUUUUUCUCUGAAUUAUUUGAGCCUUAUGGUCCUUGUGAUUAUGUUAAUCUUCAGCCCAAGUAA
RNAcentral lists this ribosomal RNA (210 nucleotides) under Triticum aestivum (bread wheat). Its description in RNAcentral is "partial small subunit ribosomal RNA". Lineage: Eukaryota; Viridiplantae; Streptophyta; Magnoliopsida; Poales; Poaceae. The record is from RNAcentral.